UACGGGGGAGCAAGCGUUGUUCGGAUUACUGGCGUAAAGGGCGCGUAGGCGGCGCAACAAGUCACUUGUGAAAUCUCCGGGCUUAACCCGGAGCGGCCAAGUGAUACUGUCGUGCUAGAGUGCGGAAGGGGCUACUGGAAUUCUCGGUGUAGCGGAUGAAUGCGUAGAUAUCGAGAGGAACACCUGCGGCGAAGGCGGGUAGCUGGGCCGACACUGACGCUGAGGCGCGAAAGCCAGGGAGCGAACGG
Molecule: ribosomal RNA, 248 nt
Filed under: uncultured bacterium
Lineage: Bacteria
Description: partial 16S ribosomal RNA
Rfam family: Bacterial small subunit ribosomal RNA
Source: RNAcentral